AGAGAAUCACUUGAACCCGGGAGGCGGAGGUUGUAGUGAGCGAGGAUCGUGCCACUGCAUUCUAGCCUGGGCAACAAGA
RNAcentral lists this small nuclear RNA (79 nucleotides) under Homo sapiens (human). RNAcentral's name for it is "partial ncRNA". The record is from RNAcentral. Lineage: Eukaryota; Metazoa; Chordata; Mammalia; Primates; Hominidae.